GGGGGCGAUUUGGAUUCGACGACGGUUACGAAACCUUCAGGUGCAUGUCGAGAUGGCAGCCAAUCUCGUAAAUCAAAAGCUGCAAAAUAGUAAUCGCAAACGACGAUAACUUCGGCGCUCAAGGCGCUCUAGCUGCUUAAUACCCAGCUAGCGGUUGUAAUUGGCUUACUUGUUGGCUGGUUUCAACUGUCAAUUUAAACAAGGUCGCUGUGAAGCAUGCCUGAGGCGGAUCAGUUAAACUAAUUUUCAGGCUCGCUUGUUACAUCCUGAUCGUCGGGUUGUUUUGAGCUAACUAAAUAGACGAAUCUAAACAUGUAGAGCCGAAGGCAGAGAACUGGCGGACGCGGGUUCAAUUCCCGCCGCCUCCACCA
This 371-nucleotide transfer-messenger RNA is filed under the name Zooshikellaceae. RNAcentral's name for it is "Spartinivicinus sp013425485 Standard tmRNA". It matches the Rfam family "transfer-messenger RNA". From Rfam's summary of the family: Bacterial tmRNA, also known as 10Sa RNA or SsrA, is named for its dual tRNA and mRNA-like properties. Its role is to liberate the mRNA from a stalled ribosome. Lineage: Bacteria; Pseudomonadati; Pseudomonadota; Gammaproteobacteria; Oceanospirillales. The record is from RNAcentral. RNAcentral also lists the same sequence under 1 other name.